Molecule: ribosomal RNA, 478 nt
Filed under: uncultured bacterium
Lineage: Bacteria
Description: partial 16S ribosomal RNA
Rfam family: Bacterial small subunit ribosomal RNA
Source: RNAcentral
GACGAACGCUGGCGGCGUGCUUAACACAUGCAAGUCGAACGGUAAGGCCCUUCGGGGUACACGAGUGGCGAACGGGUGAGUAACACGUGGGUGAUCUGCCCUGCACUUCGGGAUAAGCCUGGGAAACUGGGUCUAAUACCGGAUAGGACCAUGCGCCUCACGGUGUGUGGUGGAAAGCUUUUGCGGUGUGGGAUGGGCCCGCGGCGUAUCAGCUUGUUGGUGGGGUAAUGGCCUACCAAGGCGACGCAGGGUAGCCGGCCUGAGAGGGUGACCGGCAACACUGGGACUGAGAGACGGCCCAGGCGCCUACGGGAGGCAGCAGUGGGGAAUAUUGCACAAUGGGCGCAGGCCUGAUGCAGCGACGCCGCGUGAGGGAUGACGGCCUUCGGGUUGUAAACCUCUUUCAGUAGGGACGAAGCGCAAGUGACGGUACCUACAGAAGAAGGACCGGCCAACUACGUGCCAGCCGCCGCAGUAA